This 459-nucleotide ribosomal RNA is filed under the name uncultured bacterium. RNAcentral's name for it is "partial 16S ribosomal RNA". It matches the Rfam family "Bacterial small subunit ribosomal RNA", at positions 338 to 795 of the family's 1533-position model. The record is from RNAcentral.
CCUACGGGUGGCAGCAGUGAGGAAUAUUGGUCAAUGGGCGCGAGCCUGAACCAGCCAAGUAGCGUGAAGGAUGAAUGCCCUACGGGUUGUAAACUUCUUUUAUAAAGGAAUAAAGUGAGGCACGUGUGCCUUUUUGUAUGUACUUUAUGAAUAAGGAUCGGCUAACUCCGGGCCAGCAGCCGCGGUAAUAAGGAGGAUGCGAGCGUUAGCCGGCGUUAUUGGGUGUAAAGGGUGCGUAGGUGGACGGUUAAGUCAGCGGUGACAGCCAGGGGCGCAACCCCGGGGAGCCGUUGAAACUGGCUGUCUUGAGAUGUCGAGAGGUAUGCGGAAUGCGCAGUGUAGCGGUGAAAUGCUUAGAUAUUGCGCAGAACUCCGAUUGCGAAGGCAGCAUACCGGCGGCGAUCUGACGCUGAGGCACGAAAGCGUGGGUAUCGAACAGGAUUAGAUACCCCAGUAGUC